GGCCAGUUAGCUCAGUUAGUUGAGUGUGGUGCUUACAACACCAAGGUCACGGGUUCGAUUCCCGUUCGGUUCC
Molecule: transfer RNA, 73 nt
Filed under: Apaloderma vittatum (bar-tailed trogon)
Lineage: Eukaryota; Metazoa; Chordata; Aves; Trogoniformes; Trogonidae
Rfam family: tRNA
About the family: Transfer RNA (tRNA) molecules are approximately 80 nucleotides in length. Their secondary structure includes four short double-helical elements and three loops (D, anti-codon, and T loops).
Source: Rfam by way of RNAcentral